UACGGAGGGUGCAAGCGUUAUCCGGAUUCACUGGGUUUAAAGGGUGCGUAGGUGGGUUGAUAAGUCAGUGGUGAAAUCCCCGAGCUUAACUUGGGAACUGCCAUUGAUACUGUAGGGCUUGAGUACAGUUGCUGUGGGCGGAAUAUGACAUGUAGUGGUGAAAUACGUAGAGAUGUCAUAGAACACCGAUUGCGAAGGCAGCUCACAAAACUGUAACUGACACUGAGGCUCGAAAGUGCGGGGAUCAAACAGG
This 253-nucleotide ribosomal RNA is filed under the name uncultured bacterium. RNAcentral's name for it is "partial 16S ribosomal RNA". It matches the Rfam family "Bacterial small subunit ribosomal RNA", at positions 524 to 776 of the family's 1533-position model. The record is from RNAcentral.